UAGAAAUAUAGUGGAGGCUAUCAGAAUGACAGGUGGUGCAUGGCUGUCGUCAGCUCGUGUCUUGAGAUGUUUGGUUAAGUCCCGUAACGAGCGCAACCCUACUCUUUAGUUAACCAGUUCUAAAGUGACUGAAUCGUAAGAUAUAGGAAGGUUGGGGCCAAGUCAAGUCAUCAUGCCCCUUAUGCCUCGGGCUGCAAACGUGCUACAAUGGUAGGUACAAUGUGUUGCAAUCUAGCGAUAGUGAGCUAAUCACCGAAAACCUAUCUCAGUCCGGAUAAAAGGCUGCAAUUCGCCUAUUUGA
This 301-nucleotide ribosomal RNA is filed under the name uncultured Mycoplasma sp. RNAcentral describes it as "bacterial SSU rRNA". It matches the Rfam family "Bacterial small subunit ribosomal RNA", at positions 1001 to 1323 of the family's 1533-position model. Lineage: Bacteria; Bacillati; Mycoplasmatota; Mollicutes; Mycoplasmatales; Mycoplasmataceae. The record is from RNAcentral.